AAUGAACGCUGGCGGCAGGCCUAACACAUGCAAGUCGAACGGAUCCUUCGGGAUUAGUGGCGGACGGGUGAGUAACGCGUGGGAACAUACCCAAAGGUACGGAAUAGCCUCAGGAAACUGGGAGUAAUACCGUAUGUGCUCGAAAGAGGAAAGAUUUAUCGCCUUUGGAUUGGCCCGCGUUGGAUUAGGUAGUUGGUGGGGUAAUGGCCUACCAAGCCGACGAUCCAUAGCUGGUUUGAGAGGAUGAUCAGCCACACUGGGACUGAGACACGGACCAGACUCCUACGGGAGGCAGCAGUGGGGAAUGUUAGACAAUGGGGGAAACCCUGAUCUAGCCAUGCCGCGUGAUCGAUGAAGGCCUUAGGGUUGUAAAGAUCUUUCAGGUGGGAAGAUAAUGACUGUACCACCAGAAGAAGCCCCGGCUAACUCCGUGCCAGCCGCCGCCGUAA
This 449-nucleotide ribosomal RNA is filed under the name uncultured bacterium. RNAcentral describes it as "partial 16S ribosomal RNA". It matches the Rfam family "Bacterial small subunit ribosomal RNA", at positions 29 to 523 of the family's 1533-position model. The record is from RNAcentral.